GAACCGUACAAACGUUAUUCGGGAAUCACUGGGCUUAAAGGGUGCGUAGGCGGCGGCGCAAGUUGGGGUGUGAAAUCCCUCGGGCUCAACCGAGGAAUGGCGCCCAAAAACUGCGUGGCUCGAGGGAGACAGAGGUGAGCGGAACUUGCGGUGGAGCGGUGAAAUGCGUUGAUAUCGCAAGGAACACCAGUGGCGAAGGCGGCUCACUGGGUCUCUUCUGACGCUGAGGCACGAAAGCUAGGGGAGCGAACGGGAUUAGAUACCCCGGUAGUCCUAGCUGUAAACGAUGAGCACUGGGUCGGAGGAUCCUCCAUAGUUUUCCGGCCGUAGCGAAAGUGUUAAGUGCUCCGCCUGGGGAGUAUGGUCGCAAGGCUG
Molecule: ribosomal RNA, 375 nt
Filed under: uncultured organism
Description: partial 16S ribosomal RNA
Rfam family: Bacterial small subunit ribosomal RNA
Source: RNAcentral